This 64-nucleotide transfer RNA is filed under the name Diploderma vela. Its description in RNAcentral is "tRNA-Tyr". It matches the Rfam family "tRNA". From Rfam's summary of the family: Transfer RNA (tRNA) molecules are approximately 80 nucleotides in length. Their secondary structure includes four short double-helical elements and three loops (D, anti-codon, and T loops). Further hydrogen bonds mediate the characteristic L-shaped molecular structure. tRNAs have two regions of fundamental functional importance: the anti-codon, which is responsible for specific mRNA codon recognition, and the 3' end, to which the tRNAs corresponding amino acid is attached (by aminoacyl-tRNA synthetases). tRNAs cope with the degeneracy of the genetic code in two manners: having more than one tRNA (with a specific anti-codon) for a particular amino acid; and 'wobble' base-pairing, i.e. permitting non-standard base-pairing at the 3rd anti-codon position. Lineage: Eukaryota; Metazoa; Chordata; Lepidosauria; Squamata; Agamidae. The record is from RNAcentral.
GGACAGGUGGCUGAGUUAGGCGGUGGGUUGUAAACCCAUUUAUGGGGAGGUUCCCCCCCGUUCG